AUUGAACGCUGGCGGCAGGCUUAACACAUGCAAGUCGAGCGGGGUGAUGGUGCUUGCACUAUCACUUAGCGGCGGACGGGUGAGUAAUGCUUAGGAAUCUGCCUAUUAGUGGGGGACAACAUCUCGAAAGGGAUGCUAAUACCGCAUACGUCCUACGGGAGAAAGCAGGGGAUCACUUGUGACCUUGCGCUAAUAGAUGAGCCUAAGUCGGAUUAGCUAGUUGGUGGGGUAAAGGCCUACCAAGGCGACGAUCUGUAGCGGGUCUGAGAGGAUGGGCCGCAGCACUGGGACUGAGAGACGGCCCAGACUCCUACGGGAGGCAGCAGUGGGGAAUAUUGGACAAUGGGGGGAAUCCUGAUCCAGCCAUGCCGCGUGUGUGAAGAAGGCCUUAUGGUUGUGAAGCACUUUAAGCGGGGAGGAGGCUCUUUUGGUUAAUACCCAAGAUGAGUGGACGUUACUCGCAGAAUAAGCACCGGCUAACUCUGUGCCAGCCGCCGCUGUAA
This 503-nucleotide ribosomal RNA is filed under the name uncultured bacterium. Its description in RNAcentral is "partial 16S ribosomal RNA". It matches the Rfam family "Bacterial small subunit ribosomal RNA", at positions 30 to 523 of the family's 1533-position model. The record is from RNAcentral.